UUCUAAUAUCCGAAACAAGUUAAAUCUAGACAAACAACAACAAAACACAUAUCACCAUAGGGAAAGCUAACAAUAUUCUCGAUGACCUUGCUUAGGGUUGCAUGUAUCACUCGAUAUAAUAGUAGCAACCUUGAGAUGUCAUCAUUAGCACAUACAAGACAUCAUGUGAAAGAAAAUUGCAAAUCCUCAUACAACAUGAACAUGUCACAAU
This 211-nucleotide long non-coding RNA is filed under the name Manihot esculenta (cassava). RNAcentral describes it as "long non-coding RNA (MESC_LNC003086)". Lineage: Eukaryota; Viridiplantae; Streptophyta; Magnoliopsida; Malpighiales; Euphorbiaceae. The record is from RNAcentral.